RNAcentral lists this long non-coding RNA (952 nucleotides) under Apteryx haastii (Great spotted kiwi). RNAcentral's name for it is "lncRNA (ENSAHAG00000014713.1)". The record is from RNAcentral. Lineage: Eukaryota; Metazoa; Chordata; Aves; Apterygiformes; Apterygidae.
CAGCCAACUAAAAGCCCCUGUUUCGGGCCCCUAAAGGCAGGCCUGUUCCCACGCUCCGCAGAGUUCGCACUCAUCAGAGUUCUUGCACUCACCAGAGUUUGUGUUCGCCAGAGUUCUCACGCUCCCCAGAGUUCCCGCGCUCCCAGAUUUCCCAUGCUUCCCAGAAUUCUUGCGCUCCCCAGAGUUCCCGCGCUUCCCAGAGUUCCUGCGCUCGCCACAGUUCCUGCGCUCACCAGAGUUCUUGCGCUCCCCAGAGUUCGCGCUCCCCAGAGUUCGCACUCACCAGAGUUCUCGCGCUCGCCAGAGUUCCCACGCUCGCCAGAGUUCUCGCACUCCCCAGAGUACGCACUCCCCAGAGUUCGCACUCCCCAGAGUUUGUGCGCUCGCCACAGUUCGGGCUCCCCAGAGUUCCCGCGCUUGCCAGAAUUUGCGCUCACAAGAGUUUUCACGCUCGCCAGAGUUCCCAGCGCUCCCCAGAGUUCCCACGCUCGCCACAGUUCCUGCGUUCACCAGAGUUCGCACUUACCAGAGUCCUUGCGCUCGCCAGAGUUCUCAUGCUCGCCAGAGUUCUCAUGCUCGCCAGAGUUUGCAUUCGCCAGAGUUUGCAUUCGCCAGAGUUCGCGGAAUCUCAAGAGUUCACGCUCGCCAGAGCUCCCGCGCUCCCCAAUGUUCGCGCUUGCCAGAAUUCUUGCGCUCUCCAGAGUUCUCACGCUCCCCACAGUUCGCACUCACAGGAGUUCCCGCGCUCCCCAGAUUUCUCGCGCUCCCCAGAGUUCGCACUCACCAAAGUUCACGCUCCCCAGAGUUCUCAUGCUCACCAGAGUUUGCAGUCACCAGGGUUCUCAUGCUUGCCAGAGUUCACAUUCGCCAGAGUUCUCGCGCUUGCCAGAAUACCUGCGCUCCCCAGAGUUCCCGCCCUCCCCAGAGUUCGCACUCACCAGAGUUCCCGCGU